RNAcentral lists this ribosomal RNA (460 nucleotides) under uncultured bacterium. RNAcentral's name for it is "partial 16S ribosomal RNA". It matches the Rfam family "Bacterial small subunit ribosomal RNA", at positions 338 to 795 of the family's 1533-position model. The record is from RNAcentral.
CCUACGGGAGGCAGCAGUGAGGAAUUUUCGUCAAUGGGCGCGAGCCUGACCCAGCCAAGUAGCGUGAAGGAUGACUGCCCUACGGGUUGUAAACUUCUUUUUUAAAGGAAUACAGUGAGGCAAGUGUGCCUUUUUGUCUGUACUUUAUGAAUACGGAUCGGCUAACUCCGUGCCAGCAGACGCGGUACUACGGAGGAUCCGAGCGUUAUCCGGAUUUAUUGGGUUUAAAGGGAGCGUAGAUGGGUUGUUAAGUCAGUUGUGAAAGUUUGCGGCUCAACCGUAAAAGUGCAAUGGAUACUGGCAGUCUUGAGUACAGAUGAGGUAGGCGGAAUUCGUGGUGUAGCGGUGAAAUGCUUAGAGAUCACGAAGAACUCCGAUUGCGAAGGCAGCUUACUAAACUGCCACUGACAUUGAUGCUCGAAAGUGUGGGGAUCAAACAGGAUUAGAUACCCCAGUAGUC